This 23-nucleotide small RNA is filed under the name Arabidopsis thaliana (thale cress). Lineage: Eukaryota; Viridiplantae; Streptophyta; Magnoliopsida; Brassicales; Brassicaceae. The record is from RNAcentral.
GAAUAACGAGACGAAGUCGACUU